AUUGAACGCUGGCGGCAGGCUUAACACAUGCAAGUCGAGCGGAGAUGAGGUGCUUGCACCUUAUCUUAGCGGCGGACGGGUGAGUAAUGCUUAGGAAUCUGCCUAUUAGUGGGGGACAACAUUCCGAAAGGAAUGCUAAUACCGCAUACGUCCUACGGGAGAAAGCAGGGGAUCUUCGGACCUUGCGCUAAUAGAUGAGCCUAAGUCGGAUUAGCUAGGUGGUGGGGUAAAGGCCUACCAAGGCGACGAUCUGUAGCGGGUCUGAGAGGAUGAUCCGCCACACUGGGACUGAAACACGGCCCAGACUCCUACGGGAGGCAGCAGUGGGGAAUAUUGGACAAUGGGGGAAACCCUGAUCCAGCCAUGCCGCGUGUGUGAAGAAGGCCUUGUGGUUGUAAAGCACUUUAAGCGAGGAGGAGGCUACUGAGACUAAUACUCUUGGAUAGUGGACGUUACUCGCAGAAUAAGCACCGGCUAACUCUGUGCCAGCCGCCGCCGUAA
RNAcentral lists this ribosomal RNA (501 nucleotides) under uncultured bacterium. RNAcentral's name for it is "partial 16S ribosomal RNA". It matches the Rfam family "Bacterial small subunit ribosomal RNA", at positions 30 to 523 of the family's 1533-position model. The record is from RNAcentral.